RNAcentral lists this ribosomal RNA (253 nucleotides) under uncultured bacterium. Its description in RNAcentral is "partial 16S ribosomal RNA". The stretch from base 44 to 253 matches the Rfam family "Bacterial small subunit ribosomal RNA", at positions 567 to 776 of the family's 1533-position model. The record is from RNAcentral.
UCCUUCUUUUUCCCUCUUUUUUCUUCCUUCCUUUUCUUCCAUUUUUCUUAUUUUUCCAACUAAGUCAGACGUGAAAUCCCUCAGCUUAACUGGGGAACUGCGUCUGAGACUGGAUGGCUUGAGUGCAGGAGAGGAACGCGGAAUUCCAGGUGUAGCGGUGAAAUGCGUAGAUACCUGGAGGAACACCGGUGGCGAAGGCGGCGUUCUGGACUGCUACUGACACUGAGGAACGAAAGCCAGGGGAGCAAACGGG